GUGUGCAUAUGAUAAUGCAGUACUCUUUUCAGAAUGCUGGCGCUAAGUAUAAUGUUGUGUCCUUCAUAGAGUUUCCAGCUUUGGAUCCCAAUUUUUUCUUUGCUUCUCAGUGGAUCAGGAAGAGUGCAAUUUCAAAAAAGUCGGUUCACCCACUUCAUAACAAUGUUUUACUGAAUUCCACAGGCUGGGUUCGUAAAAGAGCAUAUGACGCUUGCAAUAAAAAUAUGGCCAUUUCCAACUUUUGCUAAUUGCGUAUGAUGAGAAACAAAAAGAAGUAAAGAGGCGCGAUGGUAGAACUGGGGAGCUUUCAAAUCAAGUUUACUGCAUUCAGAAGCGUGUAUUGCUUUAGUCGCUUUAACUUUGUUCCCACAAAAUAACCUUUCAGAGCAUGCUUGCACAUGCUUGUGUCUUUCCCUUGCUCACCGGCACAACACUCCUUUCUCCCAAAAAGUAGAGCACAUGAUUAGUUUCGUUUCUGAUCGAGCUCCAGCAUUCAUUGUAGUCUGAAUCAAGUAGUUGAAGAUAAAUGUAGCCUCCCCAUCCUCGAGGGAUUGGAUUCUGAAUUGUAAAAGAAAACCCCACCAGCUAGUGCUAUCAUAUUUUUAUUGUUGAAGAAGCCCAUCGUGAUCGCGUUGGAAAUGGAAGCCACCAAUAACAAAAGGGAAGAGCACCCAUGGCGUAGUGGAUGGGAUAGUGGGAAUAACAAUCAUGGCCGUACGGCCUCCCUCUGCUUUCAUUUGGAAUGCCAUACAAGUAAUUUGGCUCAUAAACUAUGAUUACAACUUAAAUGGCUAGCUUUUCAUCCUCCAAAGUAGUAAGAUUCAUGGACGGGAACCCAGAGUAGGGCCAAUCAGGGCUCGGGCAUCAACCUUCCGGAAAGAAAUGUGGGUGAAGUGAAAGAUCCUAACACGAUAGAGUAUCAAUAGAUUUGACCAAAGAAACGAAAAUAGGACUUCGAGUGCUGUGGUUUCGAGUAGAAAUGUGAUCAUAUCAUAUCCAAAAAA
Non-coding RNA from Cucurbita pepo subsp. pepo (vegetable marrow), 1004 nucleotides. Lineage: Eukaryota; Viridiplantae; Streptophyta; Magnoliopsida; Cucurbitales; Cucurbitaceae. The record is from RefSeq and is a predicted model, not a curated record.